Molecule: ribosomal RNA, 487 nt
Filed under: uncultured bacterium
Lineage: Bacteria
Description: partial 16S ribosomal RNA
Rfam family: Bacterial small subunit ribosomal RNA
Source: RNAcentral
CCUACGGGCGGCAGCAGUGAGGAAUAUUGGUCAAUGGCCGGAAGGCUGAACCAGCCAAGCCGCGUGAGGGAGGAAGGCGCAGAGCGUCGCAGACCUCUUUUGCCGGGGGACAAAAGGCCGGACUCGUCCGGUCCUGAGGGUACCCGGAGAAAAAGCAUCGGCUAACUCCGUGCCAGCAGCCGCGGUAAUACGGAGGAUGCGAGCGUUAUCCGGAUUCAUGGGGUUUAAAGGGUGCGCAGGCGGGCCUUUAAGCCGGCGGUGAAAUCGCGGGGCUCAACCCCGCCGGGUCGUCGGAACUGGGGGCCGUGAGUGCUGCAUUUCAAACUGGAAGUCUAGAGUGCAGGAGAGGAGAAUGGAAGUCCUGGUGGAGCGGUGAAAUGCGUAGAGAUUAGGAAGAACACCAGUGGCGAAGGCGAUUCUCUGGACUGUAACUGACGCUGAGGCUCGAAAGCGUGGGGAGCAAACAGGAUUAGAUACCCCUGUAGUC